This is a non-coding RNA of Pelodiscus sinensis (Chinese soft-shelled turtle), 3778 nucleotides long. The record is from RefSeq and is a predicted model, not a curated record. Lineage: Eukaryota; Metazoa; Chordata; Testudines; Trionychidae.
CCAUAUUUGGUUUUUAUGUUGCUGGAACUGUACCUAAGGAGGGUCCAUUCUGCUCCGUACUCAGAUUUUCCUCCAAGAAGUAGUGCUAUCAAUUCCACACAAUGGAAGUCUUAAUUUACUGUUGUCUCUAAGAUACUCUGACAGUCUUAGAAGUUCAAAAUAAAUUAAUAUGGUAAGUUAAACUCCGCCUUCCUAAUUUAUUCCUGAAAUGUCAACAGGAUUUAUUGGACUUUGUUUUCUGCCCUACACUCCUUGUGUAGCUGAGGUCUGUUAAACAGAUAUAUUUUCCCACAGAUGUGACAAACUUCAAGUGAUGACUGAAAUAAAUGUUGUAUAAUUUUUCAAGUACUUUGGGACUCAUAUGGAAUAUAAGGCUUUAGAACAGUGUUUCUCAAACUUUUUUUAAAGUAUCCUUUCUUCAAAAAAAAAAAAAAAUUAGAAGUCCCCCUUUAAAAAAUAUUUUUGAAGUACCUAGUUUUCAGACAAUUUUUUUUCUACCAUUGCAACACAUUUGUUUAAACAACUUAAUCGUAGCUGGGCAGAAGAUGAAAUUUUUAGGUGUGAAAAGUACAAAAAUAAUAAAGCACUGUAAAACAUAAACCAAAAAUUCAGUUUUCUUCAAAUUUCAGUUGUGUUGAUGUACCCUACCCCCCAGACUCCUCAAGUCCAUAUCACUGGUUGAGAAACACUGCUUUAGACCACCUGAACAGCAAAGAAAUCCCAUAUUUACAACAAUACAUUUAAUUUAAUAUAUUUCAUAUAAUUUUUAAAAAACUUUUCCUUCCCAAAACUAUCUAAACUGCUUAUGUACAACCAGCUACUUUUCAACAUUAAUGGCCUCUUUUAAAAAAUAAUGAAAGUACACAGUAGCUGAAAAAUGCAAUGCUUUUCUAUGGAGAUCUGUCUUGGUAAUUUUCAGCACCAAGCAGUUAGCACCAAGAAUCUAGCUUCUUGCUACAAUGUAAGCAGAAAUACUCUUCCCUUUACCAGCCCUGCCAUCCCUCUUCCCCUGAUAGCUUCAAUCAAGUUGGACAGUGUUAAUGUCAGUCUGACCCAAACUUAGUGUAAGAAGAGACUGCUGCCAUUAGUAAGGAAAGCAGCCAACUCCUGUGUAGAGCACAAGUGGUUAGCAGCUGAGAAAAUGAAAAGCACCUACCUACUAUAAAAAAGACUGGGAUUUACUGCAUCUGCUGUACUGAACACAGUCCCUUAUCUCUGUCCCUUAAAAAUGCUUCCAAAUCUACCUGUAUCUCCUUUUCUCUUAAAAUAAAAAUCAACUACAAAUAAUCCGGGCCUUUUAGUAUCCCCAAAAUAUUAACCCAUAUCAGGAAAAUGCUAUCACUGUCUUCUUAAAAAAAAUACAAUAAAAUACAUUUGUAGAACAGAACCCUCACUUAGGUGAGCCAGUGCAGUGGUUCCCAACUGCUGGGCUACAGACCGGUGGCUGGCAGGCCACAGCAGCUUUGGGGGCGAGGGCUGGGAUAUACCGCGCAGCACCUCCUCUCCUGGUGCAGCCCCAUCUCUCAGCCAACAAGUCCCGGCAGGGGCAGGGUCUCCUCCUAGCCAUGGAAGAGUAGUCUGCUGCAUGGCAAAAGGGCAGUGCGGAGCCUGGCAUGUCAGCCUUAGAGCAGCCACAACCUGGGUAGCAGCGCUCAGCUGGCAGCUGGGAGAUAGCGCAGGGCUAGGUAAGGAGGGAUAGGGAAGGCACUGGGAGGGUUUGGGGGCGAAGCUAAUACUGGGGGGCUCUAGGGCAGGACUAGUACUGGGGAGCUCUAAGGAGGGCGGGUGCUAAAAGGCAGGGGGUCUGACAGGGGGGAAUUGAGGUGUUCUGGUGGGGAGCUGGCACUGAGGGGCUCUGAGGGCAGGGUUAGUAGUGAGAGGACUUUGGGGGCACAGCUGUCACUGGAGGGGUUAAGUACAGUGGGGCUCUAAAAACAGGAGGCUGGAACUGGGUUGUUUGGUGGGGGGUUCUAAGAGGUGGAGGGCUGGCACUGAAGCAUUUGGGAUGGGGGACUAGCACUAGGGGAGUUGGGUACAGCGGGCUCUGAGGUCAGCGGCUGGCGUGGGGGAGUAGUGGAGGUGUGGGGAGCUCUGGAGGUUAGGGCUGGCACUGGGGGGGCUCUAGGGGCCAGGAGUUUUAGACCACAGACCACCAAACUUUUGGCGGACGGGUAACAUUUUAUUUGCAUGUUUGCAUAUUCAUUAUUCAAAUUCAGGAAAUUCCACUGACUGCUCAAUUAGCUGAUUACACACAAUUUUACCAAAUACAGUGGACAUUUAGGUAACUAACCACUGUGCUUGUUUCUAUGCAUAUUUAGAACAGUUUUAAACUAACAAUGUUGAUAAUGAAGAUUCUUUUCCUUAUACUUGAGCUUAUACACUUAAUAAAGGCUACUAAAUAUUAUACAUUCUGUUAAACCAACUCACUACACAAAAAGUAUUUUUGUCAUAGUUUCACAAUUUGGAAUCCAUUGUUUUGUUAAUAAUGGAAAAAUUAAUUUGCUAUGUAGAAGAGAAACAUUACAUAGAUUUAUUCUUAUAAUUCAACUUUCUAUUCCAUUUCAAGUUUUCAUGAACUAGAAAUUAAUUCUUUUCAUGCAUAUUAAUUAAAAUAGUGUAUCAUACAUUUAUCCAGCUCUUUCAGCAGAAAUCUGAAAUCAUUUUUAAAAAAAGCUAAACACCAUAACGAAAUGCUUCACCCACUAUUGAACAGAAAUGUAGUAUAAUAUAUGGAGAUAUAUCAUCUCAUAGAACUGGAAGGAGCUUUGAGAGGUCAUCGAGUCCAGUCCCCUGCCCACACAGCAGGACCAAGUACCAUCCCACGUAUCAUCAGUUUAGCUAUACAGACUGUCACUAUAAAAUAAUUCAUGGAAAAACUGUCCAAUGCAUCUAAUUACAACUGCAGAAAGACGUCUGUAGAUAAAUUAAAUGAUCUAAAAUGGAAAUUGGCUUGGAAUAUUUGGGUCGACAGUCUUGCAAAAAGUCAUAAGGACUUCAAUAUCUCUUCCAGAAGGUGGUACCUCAUAACAGUAUCCUGUGAAUACCAGCAUGGGAAACUGGUUUAGCUGCCUGGCUUUUCUAUACAUCAAGUUAGCAUGCAGUAGGGACGUAAAAUCCCAUUGAAUUAGUUAACCAGUUAAAUGCCAAGUUUAACCAGUUAACAACCGUUAAUGGAUUAAAUGAGGCAGGCUGGAGCAGUCCCCUCACCAUGAACAGGGGCUGCUCCAGCCCUGCUGCUUCUGAACCCACACUGGACUGCUGUCUGCCAGCCCACGCGGGGCUGAGAACAGCAGCUGGAGGGAGUGGGGAGAGAGGAAAGAGGGUUACCUAUUCACAUCCCUACUACACCGCAAGCCAGGAUGUGAAUCUGUGGCACAUCAACCUGCCAUGCAACAACAUCCUGCACUGAAAGCAUAGUUAGUUAGCUAAUCAAAAAUCCUAGACUGUGACUUGGCUAACUGUAGUUACAAGCCAGGAUGAACUCCAGAACUUUCACUAUGCUACAACAAUGCCAACAUGGGCACAUUACAGAAUAGCAGGUUGGUGUGCCGUGGUGAUGCCCUGGCUUUCCAUGCAGGUGAGCACUUAUGCUUCCAACUAAAUUACCAACUUCACCUGAGUUUUCCAUUGAUAUUUUCUGUCCUAAUUUAGAUAGAGUUACCUCCGUACUUAACUUACAAGUGUUUACCUUGUGGAAACAGAACACAUUGUGGCAUUUAUAUAUACAGGCAGUCCCCGGGUUACGUACAAGAUAGGGACUGUAGGUUUGUUCUUAAGU